RNAcentral lists this ribosomal RNA (490 nucleotides) under uncultured bacterium. RNAcentral describes it as "partial 16S ribosomal RNA". It matches the Rfam family "Bacterial small subunit ribosomal RNA", at positions 29 to 507 of the family's 1533-position model. The record is from RNAcentral.
AGUGAACGCUGGCGGUAGGCCUAACACAUGCGAGUCGAACGGCAGCACAGUAAGAGCUUGCUCUUACGGGUGGCGAGUGGCGGACGGGUGAGGAAUACAUCGGAAUCUACUUUUUCGUGGGGGAUAACGUAGGGAAACUUACGCUAAUACCGCAUACGACCUACGGGUGAAAGCAGGGGAUCUUCGGACCUUGCGCGAUUGAAUGAGCCGAUGUCGGAUUAGCUAGUUGGCGGGGUAAAGGCCCACCAAGGCGACGAUCCGUAGCUGGUCUGAGGAUGAUCAGCCACACUGGAACUGAGACACGGUCCAGACUCCUACGGGAGGCAGCAGUGGGGAAUAUUGGACAAUGGGCGCAAGCCUGAUCCAGCCAUACCGCGUGGGUGAAGAAGGCCUUCGGGUUGUAAAGCCCUUUUGUUGGGAAAGAAAAGCAGCAGGUUAAUACCCCGCUGUUCUGACGGUACCCAAAGAAUAAGCACCGGCUAACUUCGUG